GUUCCCAUGGCGGUUGCAGGUCGACUGCUGGCUUGUCAUUUACGAGCGUUUUCCGUCUCUCACCUUCUGGUUGUUUCUAUUGUUUUGGUUGGCGGGGCUUGCGGCCCUCUUGGGAUGGGCUUUGCAGUUUUAGCAUUGUUCCGAUCAGCCCGCGGAUCUGCAUUAUAUGCCUCUGUUGCUGGCGCAGUGCUGAGAUUCGCCUUCUCUGUGUCCCGCUUGUGAGCCUUGGGCCUCUGUCUGAGGAUUCUUGUCAUACCCUAUGUGUGCUGCUGUUUGUCAGGUGUUCUGAUGUUCAAGCAGUAUUUUGUAGACGCCAAGUUUCUCUAAAUCCUCUCUUCUAUCCUUUUCAUUCCUUAAGCUGUUGAAGAUAUUUGGUGUCCUCCUGUGAGCCUUGCUAUCUCUUUCAUGCAUCUUAGGUUGCUAAGUGGAUAUGGUAC
This 437-nucleotide long non-coding RNA is filed under the name Androctonus crassicauda. The record is from RNAcentral. Lineage: Eukaryota; Metazoa; Arthropoda; Arachnida; Scorpiones; Buthidae.